CGGGGCGUAGCGCAGUUUGGUAGCGCGCUUCCUUGGGGUGGAAGAGGUCGUGGGUUCAAAUCCCGUCGCUCCGACCA
This 77-nucleotide transfer RNA is filed under the name Schwartzia succinivorans. RNAcentral describes it as "tRNA-Pro". It matches the Rfam family "tRNA". From Rfam's summary of the family: Transfer RNA (tRNA) molecules are approximately 80 nucleotides in length. The record is from RNAcentral. RNAcentral also lists the same sequence under 3 other names. Lineage: Bacteria; Bacillati; Bacillota; Negativicutes; Selenomonadales; Selenomonadaceae.